CGUCCUGCGUGCCUCACCUCCGUCUGCGGUUGGAGAGAGGAGAUGGACUGGCAAAAUAUCUCGCGAGCCCACUUCCCGCAUCUCUAUCGCCCUAGCCGCCUCCACGCUCGUGCAUCCUCCCGCGUCAAUCGUGCCCAAACCUCCUCAUCUCGUAUCCCGUGGGACCGAGGUGCGGGCAUGGAGGCGAGCUUCCCUGGCGGCGGCGGCGACCUGCAGGCAAAGGGUGACGGCGGCGGCGGCGCUGGAUUAGAUCUGCGGGAGAGAGAGAGGAUGAGAGGGGGAGAUAAGGAAGAAGAUGAGAGGGAGAGAGAGAGAGAGAGAGAGAGAGAGGAAAGGGGAGAGGGAGGGCUUCUACGUCGCCGCUCUCUGGAUGCACGCCAUCCACCCGCGCACGCUCGCCGCCAACCUCGCCGGCUUCGCCAGGUUCGGCUGCCUCAAGAACCUCCCCGAGAUCCUCUAUCGUUUCCUCCACGGCCCCCGCGAUGAGCGCAAGGACUAGGACGACGUCGCUGCGGCGGCUCCGGGUGCAAGAGAGGCAAGCGACGCUGCGUCGGCGGCCUUGCCGCCGCCGCGGCUGAGGCCACCAAGGCCCGGCGCGAGAAGGAGGCGGAGCACGCGCAGGCCGUGCUCGCGCACAACGACUCUGACGAGGCCUUCUGCAACCUCUACGACGGCGUCGCCGACAUCUUCGCCGGGCUACUCAAGUCGGACCAGGAGCACCUGCACGCGGGCGACACGGAUCGUGUUCACCGCCAAGUGGUGCCCGUCGCUGCGCCUGUCGUACGACUGCGCGACGCUGCUCUGCGAGGCCAUCGCGCGCCGAGUCUUCCCGCGCGACUCGAGCCCCGAGUACCUCGCUAUCCCCGACAAUCAGUAUGCCUACCGCGUCCGCAACCGGCUCCACCGCGAGGUGCUGGUACCGCUCCGCAAGGUGCUCGAGCUCCCCGAGGUCUACAUGAGCGCCGGAAGUGGGACGAGCUGCCCUGCGCGCGCUUGGCGUCCACGGCCAUGCGCCGGUACAAGUGGCGUCCUGGCUGUUCUUCUUUCUUCUGGUUCUUGAUUAUCUAUGGCCUUCCAUGCAGGGCUUCUCUCUGAUAAACAAAGGAGAUGAUAUUGCAAUGUGCUAACCAGAUUAUUGCUGCACAUUUGUCUGUUUGAUGUCUUGGUUGUGGGAUCUGAAACACUAUGUAUUCAGAUCAACAUUACACAGGCAAGGAGCGAGAUGAUGCCAAGCAGUGGAAGAGAAUGGUAACCAAAGACAACUUUGUUGGUCCUUGAUCAUGGAUUUACAAGAAAGCCAACAGAGUAUGAAAAGGUUCUCAUGGGACUCACCCUGAACUGAAAUCUAUGUUCAACCUUGGUAUAAUUCUAUGACAAAAACCCCAGGUGGUCCAAUUUUUUCUUUCUUUCUUUCAUGUUUAUUGUUUUUGGUUUGUUAUAACCGAAUUUAUAGCCUACUAUUCGUGGGUUUCUUUUAUUCUGUUUUGGUGGGUUCUAAGCUAUGAAAUUAGGAACCAUAUAGUUUAUUAGUUUGAGACCUGCUUCAAGAUAAAGAAUGAAAUGAAGAAUUAUUAUUUCAUGAUGACACACAUGACUGUCAAACUGCAGAAAAUACUUGAUUUAUGUACUGUAUGAUUUCUGAGUUCCUUUCCUUUCUAGAUUUAUGUGGGGAGAACUCAUGAGCUUAUGAAUGAGUGAUUCGGAUUUGUCUAAUUGGGAACUAGCAAAUCAUGUAAAGUAAGGGUUUUUCUGCUCAUAUAGACUGGUUGGUCGAUGGCUUCUUGAUACAUCGUACCUUAAACAACGUAAUUUCUGAUUGAGGGGACCAGGUUGAUGCCCUGUUUGAUGUGAAUUUUCUGGGAUGUGCUGCCAUAUAUUUCCACCACUGUAUACAACAAUGAGUACAACAUUUAACAUGGGCAUGAUGUUAAAUUUGAGUGAAUCUAAGGGCCUACUGGCUGCAUAAUCUGUGGCUAUAUUUUUUAGACUUAUUUAUUUAUUUUUGUGUAUGCAAGGAGCAAUUCUACUAUCUCUUCAUGGUUUAGCGUUUAUAUAUUAGUUGGAUAGUAUCUCUUUAUUCUGUUGUUGUGACUGACUAGCUGCUUACUUAUAUGGACAACUUGAACUGAAAGCAAGAGUAGAAGCCCAUGAGAUGAGACACAAGGAAAAUAUGCAUGGUAUUUUUCAAUUCUAAUGUUUCAGUUCCACUCACCUACUUGACUGGCUAUGUGAUGUAUAUACUGAUUUCCUGCGACUGUUUGAGUUAUAACAGUUUUGCUCAUCUGGCAGAAAAUGGCACAUUCAUGAUUCAGUUUGGUUAGCAAGUGCCUAAAUACUCUGGAAAUGUGUUUGAAUCACACAAAAAGAGUUUGUAGUUCUUAUUCAUACUUGAAACAUGUGAGGCUCUGCAAAUUAAACCAUGUUUUUUUUCAA
Molecule: non-coding RNA, 2433 nt
Organism: Triticum urartu
Lineage: Eukaryota; Viridiplantae; Streptophyta; Magnoliopsida; Poales; Poaceae
Source: RefSeq, a predicted model, not a curated record